Molecule: ribosomal RNA, 497 nt
Filed under: uncultured bacterium
Lineage: Bacteria
Description: partial 16S ribosomal RNA
Rfam family: Bacterial small subunit ribosomal RNA
Source: RNAcentral
GACGAACGCUGGCGGCGUGCCUAAUACAUGCAAGUUGAGCGCUGAAGGUUGGUACUUGUACCGACUGGAUGAGCAGCGAACGGGUGAGUAACGCGUGGGGAAUCUGCCUUUGAGCGGGGGACAACAUUUGGAAACGUAUGCUAAUACCGCAUAAAAACUUUAAACACAAGUUUUAAGUUUGAAAGAUGCAAUUGCAUCACUCAAAGAUGAUCCCGCGUUGUAUUAGCUAGUUGGUGAGGUAAAGGCUCACCAAGGCGAUGAUACAUAGCCGACCUGAGAGGGUGAUCGGCCACAUUGGGACUGAGACACGGCCCAAACUCCUACGGGAGGCAGCAGUAGGGAAUCUUCGGCAAUGGACGAAAGUCUGACCGAGCAACGCCGCGUGAGUGAAGAAGGUUUUCGGAUCGUAAAACUCUGUUGGUAGAGAAGAACGUUGGUGAGAGUGGAAAGCUCAUCAAGUGGCGGUAACUACCCAGAAAGGGACGGCUAACUACGUG